UCCGGUUUGUCACCGGCAGUCUCCCUAGAGUGCCCUUGCGUAGCAACUAGGGACAAGGGUUGCGCUCGUUGCGGGACUUAACCCAACAUCUCACGACACGAGCUGACGACAACCAUGCAGCACCUCGGCUGGCUUCCUUGCGGAUCGCCCCUACUUUCAUAAGGACUACUACCAGUCGUUCGAGCCCAGGUAAGGUUCUUCGCGUAGCGUCGAAUUAAACCACAUGCUCCACCGCUUGUGCGGGCCCCCGUCAAUUCCUUUGAGUUUUAACCUUGCGGCCGUACUCCCCAGGCGGACAACUUAAUGCGUUAGCGUCGGCGCGGAAGGGGUCGAUACCUCCCACACCUAGUUGUCAUCGUUUACGGCUAGGACUAC
RNAcentral lists this unclassified non-coding RNA (375 nucleotides) under uncultured Elusimicrobia bacterium. RNAcentral's name for it is "contains 16S-23S intergenic spacer region". The record is from RNAcentral. Lineage: Bacteria; Pseudomonadati; Elusimicrobiota; Elusimicrobia.